This 541-nucleotide ribosomal RNA is filed under the name uncultured bacterium. RNAcentral describes it as "bacterial SSU rRNA". It matches the Rfam family "Bacterial small subunit ribosomal RNA", at positions 355 to 914 of the family's 1533-position model. The record is from RNAcentral.
UGGGGAAUCUUGGACAAUGGGGGCAACCCUGAUCCAGCCAUGCCGCGUGAGUGAUGAAGGCCUUAGGGUCGUAAAGCUCUUUCGCCUGUGAAGAUAAUGACGGUAGCAGGUAAAGAAACCCCGGCUAACUCCGUGCCAGCAGCCGCGGUAAUACGGAGGGGGUUAGCGUUGUUCGGAAUUACUGGGCGUAAAGCGCACGUAGGCGGACCAGAAAGUUGGGGGUGAAAUCCCGGGGGCUCAACCCCGGAACUGCCUCCAAAACUAUUGGUCUAGAGUUCGAGAGAGGUGAGUGGAAUUCCAAGUGUAGAGGUGAAAUUCGUAGAUAUUAGGUGGAACACCAGUGGCGAAGGCGCCUAACUGGUCCGGUACUGACGCUGAGGAACGAAAGCGUGGGGAGCAAACAGGAUUAGAUACCCUGGUAGUCCACGCCGUAAACGAUGAGUGCCAGUCGUCGGGUAGCAUGCUAUUCGGUGACACACCUAACGGAUUAAGCAUUCCGCCUGGGGAGUACGGUCGCAGAUUAAAACUCAAAGGAAUUGAC